CAGCCGCCGCGGUAAUACGAAGGGGGCUAGCGUUGCUCGGAAUUACUGGGCGUAAAGGGAGCGUAGGCGGACAUUUAAGUCAGGGGUGAAAUCCCAGAGCUCAACUCUGGAACUGCCUUUGAUACUGGGUGUCUUGAGUGUGAUAGAGGUAUGUGGAACUCCGAGUGUAGAGGUGAAAUUCGUAGAUAUUUGGAAGAACACCAGUGGCGAAGGCGACAUACUGGAUCAUUACUGACGCUGAGGCUCGAAAGCGUGGGGAGCAAACAGGAUUAGAUACCCCGGUAGUCCCUGUCUCUUAUAA
RNAcentral lists this ribosomal RNA (301 nucleotides) under uncultured bacterium. RNAcentral's name for it is "partial 16S ribosomal RNA". It matches the Rfam family "Bacterial small subunit ribosomal RNA", at positions 509 to 809 of the family's 1533-position model. The record is from RNAcentral.